AAAAACAUUGCUUCUUGCCACAAUAUAAGAAGUAAUUCCUGCCCAGUGACUCAUAGUUCAACGGCCGCGGUAUCCUAACCGUGCAAAGGUAGCAUAAUCACUUGCCCAUUAAUUGUGGGCUAGAAUGAAAGGACCAACGAAAUAAAAACUGUCUCUAUAAGCCCAAUAAAAAUUAAUCUCUAACUGAAGACUGUUAGAUUUCAUUGAAGGACAAGAAGACCCUAUAGAGCUUUAUUUUAAUAAAAACUCAAGUUUUAACAAAAUUCGGUUGGGGCGACCGGGGAAAAUCACUAAUCAUCCCCUUACAAAAGAUUAAUUAAUCUAAAUUAUGACCCUUAACCAAGAUCACCAAAACAAGCUACCUUAGGGAUAACAGGCUAAUCUCACUAAAGAGUCCUUAUCAAUAGUGGGGGUUGGCACCUCGAUGUUGGCUUAGGGAAUCUAUGUGGCGCAAAAGU
Molecule: ribosomal RNA, 458 nt
Filed under: Aporrectodea rosea
Lineage: Eukaryota; Metazoa; Annelida; Clitellata; Crassiclitellata; Lumbricidae
Description: partial 16S ribosomal RNA
Rfam family: Bacterial large subunit ribosomal RNA
Source: RNAcentral